Molecule: ribosomal RNA, 301 nt
Filed under: uncultured bacterium
Lineage: Bacteria
Description: partial 16S ribosomal RNA
Rfam family: Bacterial small subunit ribosomal RNA
Source: RNAcentral
CAGUCGCCGCGGUAACACGUAGGGUGCGAGCGUUAAUCGGAAUUACUGGGCGUAAAGCGUGCGCAGGCGGUUCGUUAAGACAGAUGUGAAAUCCCCGGGCUUAACCUGGGAACUGCAUUUGUGACUGGCGAGCUAGAGUAUGGCAGAGGGGGGUAGAAUUCCACGUGUAGCAGUGAAAUGCGUAGAGAUGUGGAGGAAUACCGAUGGCGAAGGCAACCUCCUGGGCCUGUUCUGAAGCUGAGGCACGAAAGCGUGGGUAGCAAACAGGAUUAGAUACCCCCGUAGUCCCUGUCUCUUAUAC